CAGGUUGCUUAAAAUAAGAUUCCA
Molecule: non-coding RNA, 24 nt
Filed under: Arabidopsis thaliana (thale cress)
Lineage: Eukaryota; Viridiplantae; Streptophyta; Magnoliopsida; Brassicales; Brassicaceae
Source: RNAcentral